AGCGAACGCUGGCGGCAUGCCUAACACAUGCAAGUCGCACGGGGGGGCUUCGGCCUCCCAGUGGCGGACGGGUGAGGAACGCGUAGGGACCUGUCGAGGGGUGGGGGAUAACCGCGGGAAACUGCGGCUAAUACCGCAUGACGCCGCGGCGUGACAGCCGGGGCCAAAGGCGAAAGCCGCCCGCCGAGGGGCCUGCGUCCGAUUAGCUGGUUGGCGGGGUAGCGGCCCACCAAGGCGUCGAUCGGUAGCUGGUCUGAGAGGGUGAUCAGCCACACCGGGACUGAGACACGGCCCGGACUCCUACGGGAAGCAGCAGUGGGGAAUAUUGGGCAAUGGGCGCAAGCCUGAUCCAGCAAUGCCGCGUGGGUGAAGAAGGUCUUCGGAUUGUAAAGCCCUUUCGGCGGGGACGAUGGUGACGGUACCCGCAGAAGAAGCCCCGGCUAACUUCGUG
This 451-nucleotide ribosomal RNA is filed under the name uncultured bacterium. Its description in RNAcentral is "partial 16S ribosomal RNA". It matches the Rfam family "Bacterial small subunit ribosomal RNA", at positions 28 to 507 of the family's 1533-position model. The record is from RNAcentral.